Molecule: long non-coding RNA, 986 nt
Organism: Strongylocentrotus purpuratus (purple sea urchin)
Lineage: Eukaryota; Metazoa; Echinodermata; Echinoidea; Camarodonta; Strongylocentrotidae
Exons: 2
Source: RefSeq, a predicted model, not a curated record
GAAAAGUGGUCUUUGUGUACAGGAUGUUUUAGUACAUGUUUCAUUGAGAAAUGCUAUUCAAAGGGAAAAUAAAAGUGGUCUUUGUGUACAGGUUGUUUUAGGACAUGUUUCAUUGCUAUUCAAAGGGAAUAAAGUGGUCUUUGUGUACAGGAUGUUUCAGUACAUGUUUCAUUGAGAAAUGCUAUUUAAAGGGAAAUAAAAGUGGUCUUUGAAGACAGGUGGUCUUUGUGUACAGAUUGUUUUAGUACAUGUUUCAUUGCUAUUCAAGGGAAAAUAAAAGUGGUCUUUGAAGACAGGUGGUCUUUGUGUACAGGAUGUUUAAAUACAUGUUUCGAUGAGAAAUGCUAUUCAUAGUGAAAUAAAAGUGGUCUUUGAAGACAGGUGGUCUUUGUGUACAGAUUGUUUAAGUACAUGUUUCAUUGAGAAAUGCUAUUCAAAGGGAAAAUAAAAGUGGUCUUUGAAGACAGCUAGGUGGUCUUUGUGUACAGGAUGUUUUAGUACAUGUUUCAAUGAGAAAUGUUAUUCAAAGGGAAAAUAAAAGUGGUCUUUGUGUUUCAUUGAGAAAUGCUAUUCGAAGGGAAAAUAAAAGUGGUCUUUGUGUACAGGAUGUUUUAGUACGUUUCAUUGAGAAAUGCUAUUUAAAGGAAGAAAAAAGUGGUCUUUGAAGACAGGUGGUCUUUGUGUACAGGAUGUUUUAGUACAUGUUUCAUUGAGAAAUGCUAUUUAAAGGAAGAAAAAAGUGGUCUUUGAAGACAGGUGGUCUUUGUGUACAGGAUGUUUUAAUUACAUGUUUCAUUGAGAAAUGCUAUUUAAAGGAAGAAAAAAGUGGUCUUUGAAGACAGGUGGUCUUUGUGUACAGGAUGUUUUAAUUACAUGUUUCAUUGAGAAAUGCUAUUUAAAGGAAGAAAAAAGUGGUCUUUGAAGACAGGUGGUCUUUGUGUACAGGAUGUUUUAAUUACAUGUUUCAUUGAGAAAUGCUAUUUAAA